AGCAUAAUUAUUAUUUUAUUAUUAAAUGUAAAGUGAUAUAAAUGAGAAUUUUUAUACGGUAUUUUUAUAUAAAUUUUAAUUUAAUUGAUAAAAUUAUGGAAAAUGUAUUUUAACUCUUUAGGGUUCAUGGGACACAAAAAUAACGCAAAACAAAAAGUCCACCAUUCUCCAUUGACUUGUGUCACCUCCUCUUGGUUCAAAGAAAUAUAAGAAAGUUGCUAGCUUGAGCCUUUUUAACUCAAAAAUCUCCAAACGCCACAUCGAGUCUAUCAUUAUAGACCAAGCAUCAAGAUUUGAAGCAAAAACAAGGAGGGGAAAUAAAGAAACAUCACACAAACAAGUAGGAGAAGGAAAAAGAAAAAGAAAUAUAUGCUUACCCCUUGAUGAGAACUUAAAAAUAAUGAAGAAACUUGCACACUAAAAACUUAGGAUUUCCACGGGCUAUAGAGGUUUUGAACUAAAAAAAUGGAACAAUACAAUUUUAGUUAUGAUCGUCUUAAAAAUAAAUAAGAGAAGCUAAGCUAAACUUAAUCCUAAAAGCAACCUAUCAAUAUAACCAACGCCAUAAAGUUCUUAAUUAACUUAAGAACAAAUGGGAAGCUCCACAAUAGAAACAUCUCGAAUUUCACUAAUCUUUUAA
Molecule: long non-coding RNA, 640 nt
Filed under: Glycine max (soybean)
Lineage: Eukaryota; Viridiplantae; Streptophyta; Magnoliopsida; Fabales; Fabaceae
Description: long non-coding RNA (GMAX_LNC002909)
Source: RNAcentral